This 541-nucleotide ribosomal RNA is filed under the name uncultured archaeon. RNAcentral describes it as "bacterial SSU rRNA". It matches the Rfam family "Archaeal small subunit ribosomal RNA", at positions 457 to 997 of the family's 1478-position model. The record is from RNAcentral.
GUCAGCAGCCGCGGUAACACCGGCGGCCCGAGUGGUGAUCGUGAUUAUUGGGUCUAAAGGGUCCGUAGCCGGUUUGGUCAGUCCUCCGGGAAAUCUGAUAGCUCAACUAUUAGGCUUUCGGGGGAUACUGCCAGACUUGGAACCGGGAGAGGUAAGAGGUACUACAGGGGUAGGAGUGAAAUCUUGUAAUCCCUGUGGGACCACCUGUGGCGAAGGCGCUUACCAGAACGGGUUCGACGGUGAGGGACGAAAGCUGGGGGCACGAACCGGAUUAGAUACCCGGGUAGUCCCAGCCGUAAACGAUGCUCGCUAGGUGUCAGGCAUGGCGCGACCGUGUCUGGUGCCGCAGGGAAGCCGUGAAGCGAGCCACCUGGGAAGUACGGCCGCAAGGCUGAAACUUAAAGGAAUUGGCGGGGGAGCACAACAACGGGUGGAGCCCUGCGGUUUAAUUGGACUCAACGCCGGACAACUCACCGGGGGCGACAGCAAUAUGUAGGCCAAGCUGAAGACUUUGCCUGAAUCGCUGAGAAGAGGUGCAUGG